AUGUUUUUGCUUUUGGCUGUUCUAUCCCUUUUAAUUUGGAGCGGCACCGGGGGAAGCCCCCACGGAACCGGAAAAUCCUGUCAAAUUCUCUCAUCCCUGGUUUUACCAGGCCGGGGAACGUGCUCCUCUUGCAGUCCGCUGGGCUUUAUGGUGAUCCCCCUCCCUCUGGUCCUCCCCCCCGCAUCUGUCCAGUGCACUUCUGUGGACUUGGCCCGUCUGAUGAGCCUCAUGGCUCUACAAGACAUCUUUAUUAUUCCUGCUAGCCGUGUUCCUGGCCUUGUAUUCGGUUUAAACACCAAGAGAGAGCCAUCAAAUAACCCACCUACGUCUGUCUGUAGAUGUCUGAUUGUACUGUUAUUGUUGAUUUCAGGAAAUGUGCAACCUAACCCUGGACCAGAUUCUGUUGUUAGUUUUAACACUCCUGCUGAUUUUAAAUCGAGGUCUGGUCUCAUCCAUUUGAAUGUGCGCAGCUUGAUUGCUAAAAUGGAUAUGAUUCGUAUUUGGGCACACUCAACUGAUGCUGAUAUCAUAGUGAUAUCUGAAACCUGGCUCACCAAAUCCAUUCCAAACAAGGAUAUUAAUAUUGAUGGUUACAAUGUAAAUAGGACUGAUCGACCUAAAAAGGGUGGAGGUGUUGCAGUCUUUGUUAAAUCUAAGUUUCAUGUAAAGAUUCUUCUCUCUACAUCACUCACAAAACAAUUUGAACUUUUGGCUCUUGACUGGGAAGUAUCAAAAGCUCUCCAUAUCACUGUCGUUGGUUGCUACGGACCACCUUCAGCUGUCAGUGACGCUUCACCAUCUUUAAUGCAGCUUUUGUCCAGUCUUAACUAUAGUGAAAGUGUCAUUGUGGGUGACCUUAACUGGAACUGGCUGCUACCAGCAUCAGAGGACUUUAAAAAAUACUGCAAUUCCUUAAAUCUCUUUCAGAUAGUUGGUAGUCUCACUAGACCCAAUCUGAAAUCUCCUGAAAAAUCCUCCUUAAUUGAUCUUAUCCUUACAAAUACUCCUCAUAAAUACACCACUGCUUCUGUAUUUGCAAAUUUCACCAGUGACCACUGUGUCAUUGCUACAGUAAGGAAUACAAAAGUCCCUAAGACUAAACACUGUGUCAUCAUAAGAAUUAAAUUAACUCCACUCACUCUUUCUUGGCUUUCCAUCGUCAAAAGUUGUGGCUAG
RNAcentral lists this long non-coding RNA (1176 nucleotides) under Cottoperca gobio. RNAcentral describes it as "lncRNA (ENSCGOG00000002075.1)". Lineage: Eukaryota; Metazoa; Chordata; Actinopteri; Perciformes; Bovichtidae. The record is from RNAcentral.